AACCUAUAACCCAGUAGGAAGGGUGUCUGACCAUUCCACGAGUACUAUCACUAGCUGUGUUGAUCCACUAAUUUGAUGUUUCCAAGGACUAGGCAGUCAGUCCUAAACUUGCGGGUGACCCCUAAGAGAGUGAAAGUCCUAACUAGUGGGUGACCUCUCAUAAUCCUAUGUUUGCUAGAUAGUUCUAGAACUUAGGGACUACUACUAAGGACUCAGUCCUAACUAGUGGGUGAG
This 234-nucleotide long non-coding RNA is filed under the name Capsicum annuum. RNAcentral's name for it is "long non-coding RNA (CANN_LNC006793)". The record is from RNAcentral. Lineage: Eukaryota; Viridiplantae; Streptophyta; Magnoliopsida; Solanales; Solanaceae.